GAUCCUGGCUCAGAAUCAACGCUGGCGGCGCGCUUAACACAUGCAAGUCGAGCGAGAAAGGGGAGCAAUCCCUGAGUAAAGCGGCGUACGGGUGAGUAACACGUGGAUAAUCUACCUUUUAGUGGGGAAUAACCCUGGGAAACCGGGGCUAAUACCGCAUAAUCCUGUGAAGGGAAAGCAGCAAUGCGCUGAAAGAGGAGUCCGCGGCCGAUUAGCUAGUUGGUGAGGUAAUGGCUCACCAAGGCGGUGAUCGGUAGCCGGCCUGAGAGGGCACACGGCCACACUGGCACUGAAACACGGGCCAGACUCCUACGGGAGGCAGCAGUGGGGAAUCUUGCACAAUGGGGGAAACCCUGAUGCAGCGACGCCGCGUGAGCGAUGAAGCCCUUCGGGGUGUAAAGCUCUUUCGGCAGGGACGAUAAUGACGGUACCUGAAGAAGAAGCUGCGGCUAACUACGUGCCAGCAGCCGCGGUAAUACGUAGGCAGCGAGCGUUGUUCGGAAUUACUGGGCGUAAAGAGUGUGUAGGCGGUGCUCUAAGUUCGGUGUGAAAUCUCCUGGCUUAACUGGGAGGGUGCGCCGGAAACUGGAGUGCUUGAGCGUGGGAGAGGAAAGCGGAAUUCCUGGUGUAGCGGUGAAAUGCGUAGAUAUCAGGAGGAACACCUGUGGUGUAGACGGCUUUCUGGACCAU
RNAcentral lists this ribosomal RNA (690 nucleotides) under uncultured Acidobacteriota bacterium. RNAcentral describes it as "bacterial SSU rRNA". It matches the Rfam family "Bacterial small subunit ribosomal RNA", at positions 15 to 737 of the family's 1533-position model. The record is from RNAcentral. Lineage: Bacteria; Pseudomonadati; Acidobacteriota.